AUUGAACGCUGGCGGCAUGCCUAACACAUGCAAGUCGAACGGAACUGGGGGCAACCCUGGUUUAGUGGCGGACGGGUGAGGAAUACAUCGGAAUUUACCUCGAGGUGGGGGAUAACCAAGGGAAACUUUGGCUAAUACCGCAUGAUCUCGUGAGAGCAAAGAGGGGGACCGCAAGGCCUCUUGUCUUGAGAUGAGCCGAU
RNAcentral lists this ribosomal RNA (200 nucleotides) under uncultured bacterium. RNAcentral's name for it is "partial 16S ribosomal RNA". It matches the Rfam family "Bacterial small subunit ribosomal RNA", at positions 30 to 234 of the family's 1533-position model. The record is from RNAcentral.